GUUUGAUCCUGGCUCAGAAUGAACGCUAGCGAUAUGCUUAACACAUGCAAGUUGAACGUUGUUUUCGAGUCAAAAUGAAAACAAAGUGGCGAACGGGUGCGUAACACGUGGGAAUCUGCCAAACAGUUUGGGCCAAAUCCUGAAUGAAUGAAAGCUAAAAAGCGCUGUUUGAUGAGCCCACGUAGUAUUAGGUAGUUGGUUAGGUAAAGGCUGACCAAGCCUACGAUGCUUAGCUGGUCUUUUCGGAUGAUCAGCCACACUGGGACUGAGACACGGCCCAGACUCCUACGGGAGGCAGCAGUGGGGAAUCUUGGACAAUGGGCGAAAGCCUGAUCCGGCAAUAUGGCGUGAGUGAAGAAGGGCAACGCAGCUUGUAAAGCUCUUUCAUCGAGUGUGCGAUUGUGACAAGACUGGAAUAAGAAGCCCCGGCUAACUCCGUGCCAGCAGCCGCGGUAAGACGGGGGGGGCUAGUGUUAUUCGGAAUGACUAGGCGUAAAGGGCACGUAGGCGGUGAAUCCGGUUGAAAGUGAAAGUCGCCAGCUCAACUGGCGGAAUGCUUUCAAAACCAAUUCACUUGAGUAAGAUAGAGGAUAGUGGAAUUUCGUGUGUAGAGAUAAAAUUCACAGAUAUACGAAGGAACGCCAAACGCGAAGGCAGCUAUCUGGGCCUCUACUGACGCAGAGGUGCGAAAGCAUAGGGAGCAAACAGGAUUAGAUACCCUGGUAGUCUAUGCCGUAAACGAUGAGUGUUCGUCCUUGGUCUGCUCUGUAUGCAAAAUGGCUGAUCAGGGGCUCAGCUAACGCGUUAAACACUCCGCCUGGGGAGUACGGCCGCAAGGCUGAAACUCAAAGGAAUUGACGGGGGCCUGCACAAGCGGUGGAGCAUGUGGUUUAAUUCGAUACAACGCGCAAAACCUUACCAGCCCUUGACAUAUGAAUAAGUUUGCUUGUCCUUAAUGGGAUGGUACGAAAAUUUAUACAGGUGCUGCAUGGCUGUCGUCAGCUCGUGUCGUGAGAUGUUGGGUUAAGUCCUAUAACGAGCGCAACCCUCGUUUUGUGUUGCUAAGACAUGCGUUUUGGAUUAAAGGAUCGAUUAUUGAGCACUUAAAAGUAACGAAGACCACAACAUUAAAAAAGGAUAUCACAAGACCGUGUGGCAUCAGCAUCACAGUUGUCGAAGGGUACUUCGACAGAGCACAGCUCUCAUAGCGUGGCACACAUAACAAUGUGGCACCCAGUCUUUGUAAAAAUAAUUGUCAAUCCAUGCCAUGUACUGCACUCACAAGAAACUGCCAGUGAUAUACUGGAGGAAGGUGGGGAUGACGCCAAGUCCGCAUGGCCCUUAUGGGCUGGGCUACACACGUGCUACAAUGGCAAUUACAAUAGGAAGCAAGGCUUUAAGGCGGAGCGAAUCCAGAAACAUGGCCUCAGUUCGGAUUGUUCUCUGCAACUCGAGAACAUGAAGUUGGAAUCGCUAGUAAUCGCGGAUCAGCAUGCCGCGGUGAAUAUGUACUCAGGCCCUGUACACACCGCCCGUCACACCAUGGGAAUUCGUUCGCCCGAAGCAUCAGACCAAGGAUCACCCAAUAUUCCAGUGCUCCAUGCCGUUGUUGAGUGUGGUCUACCAGAGUAAUUGGUUGGUUUAAUGUGGGAUACCAAGGUGGGGCCUUUGACUGAGGUGAAGUCGUAACAAGGUAGCCGUAGGGGAACCUGUGGCU
This 1717-nucleotide ribosomal RNA is filed under the name Polytrichum commune. RNAcentral describes it as "bacterial SSU rRNA". It matches the Rfam family "Bacterial small subunit ribosomal RNA". Lineage: Eukaryota; Viridiplantae; Streptophyta; Polytrichopsida; Polytrichales; Polytrichaceae. The record is from RNAcentral.